This 91-nucleotide transfer RNA is filed under the name Caudoviricetes sp. Its description in RNAcentral is "tRNA-Ile". It matches the Rfam family "tRNA". From Rfam's summary of the family: Transfer RNA (tRNA) molecules are approximately 80 nucleotides in length. Their secondary structure includes four short double-helical elements and three loops (D, anti-codon, and T loops). Lineage: Duplodnaviria; Heunggongvirae; Uroviricota; Caudoviricetes. The record is from RNAcentral.
CUCCCAGUAGCUAAACAGGUUAUAGCCCGCUGCUUAUAACGGCAAGGCCCUCACAAGGUAUAUGGCGGUUCGAUUCCACCCUGGGAGACCA